GUAGGGUGCAAGCGUUGUCCGGAAUUACUGGGCGUAAAGAGCUCGUAGGCGGUUUGCCGCGUCGUCUGUGAAAACUCGAGGCUCAACCUCGAGCUUGCAGGCGAUACGGGCAGACUUGAGUACUGCAGGGGAGACUGGAAUUCCUGGUGUAGCGGUGAAAUGCGCAGAUAUCAGGAGGAACACCGGUGGCGAAGGCGGGUCUCUGGGCAGUAACUGACGCUGAGGAGCGAAAGCGUGGGUAGCGAACAGGAUUAGAUACCCUGGUAGUCCACGCCGUAAACGGUGGGCGCUAGGUGUGGGUUUCCUUCCACGGGAUCCGUGCCGUAGCUAACGCAUUAAGCGCCCCGCCUGGGGAGUACGGCCGCAAGGCUA
This 372-nucleotide ribosomal RNA is filed under the name uncultured bacterium. Its description in RNAcentral is "bacterial SSU rRNA". It matches the Rfam family "Bacterial small subunit ribosomal RNA", at positions 527 to 896 of the family's 1533-position model. The record is from RNAcentral.